This 107-nucleotide small nuclear RNA is filed under the name Callithrix jacchus (white-tufted-ear marmoset). The record is from RNAcentral. Lineage: Eukaryota; Metazoa; Chordata; Mammalia; Primates; Cebidae.
GCGCUUGCUUUGGCAGCACAUAUGCUAAAAUUGGAAAGAUACAGAGAAGAUUAGCAUGACCCCUGUGCAAGGAUGACAUGCAAAUUUUUGAAGUGUUCCACUUUUUA